Molecule: long non-coding RNA, 935 nt
Organism: Calypte anna (Anna's hummingbird)
Lineage: Eukaryota; Metazoa; Chordata; Aves; Apodiformes; Trochilidae
Exons: 4
Source: RefSeq, a predicted model, not a curated record
UCCUGACUUCUAUUUCACUGACAGAGCAGAGUCUUUGAUUCUGGUCUGACAUACACCUAGAUAAAUCCACCAAGGUGAGCAGAACUGCACAGGUAUCAACCAAAAAGAAAUUGACCCGGAUCUGGCUUUGUGUACAUGAAUAACGUGCAGUAAGAAUGCACCAUGAUUUUUGCAGAAAAUUGUUCAUCCUGUUCAAGAGUGCACAUCCACAGGGACCAGAAGUCAUACCAGCUCUCUGUACACAGCCCACACCAGAGGGAGGGUGAGAAAUAAACUUAACAAUCCCAGGGCAUGGAAGUAAGACUGGAUUCAGGAUGGACUGUCUAGACCUUCGCUUCUCCAAUGUGGACAAAGAAGCUAGAUGUAUUUUUGGUUUCCCAGGAGGACCCAGCAUGGAUCCAGGUUCCAGAUUUCUUUUCACAGGCACAUAUCUGGAAACUUACUAUUGAGAAAUGAUUCUUCACAUUACAAAUGCCUCCUGUGCUGUCCGUAUGUGCUGCCUGGCAAAAUCUUCUGAGCUUUAAGAAAACUCAGUCACGCUAUUUCCAAGCACCGUACCCCGAGGCUUGCCUUUCCUACAUCUCCAGUAGAACAAUAACUCCCUCUGGUGUUUGCCUGCUAUUGUUACUGCCUCAGUCACAGCCCUCGGAAACCCUGCCAGAGAGAUGUGCUUACUCUAAACCCUCUUUCAUUCGAGGAUGGUAUUUGACGCUUUGGACAGGCAGAACGGCGCCCCUCAGGGCCACCCGGCCCCGGAGGAACCCGUGUCUGCAGGGGAACAUCCCUGCAUCGUGACAAGGGUUUUGCCAAACUGUGUCUGCCAAGUGGUUCACAGUGCCAAAGGCUCAUUAACAUGCUGCCUGCAUUUAUUUCAUUGCACAAACAGUAAGCUUAUUGCAAUUUGUCUGGAUGCUUUAUCUGAUGAAUACUGGAAC